This 429-nucleotide ribosomal RNA is filed under the name Pseudomonadota bacterium. Its description in RNAcentral is "Proteobacteria bacterium partial 16S ribosomal RNA". It matches the Rfam family "Bacterial small subunit ribosomal RNA", at positions 355 to 776 of the family's 1533-position model. Lineage: Bacteria; Pseudomonadati; Pseudomonadota. The record is from RNAcentral.
UGGGGAAUAUUGGACAAUGGGCGAAAGCCUGAUCCAGCCAUGCCGCGUGUGUGAAGAAGGUCUUCGGAUUGUAAAGCACUUUAAGUUGGGAGGAAGGGCAGUAAGCGAAUACCUUGCUGUUUUGACGUUACCGACAGAAUAAGCACCGGCUAACUCUGUGCCAGCAGCCGCGGUAAUACAGAGGGUGCAAGCGUUAAUCGGAAUUACUGGGCGUAAAGCGCGCGUAGGUGGUUCGUUAAGUUGAAUGUGAAAGCCCCGGGCUCAACCUGGGAACUGCAUCCAAAACUGGCGAGCUAGAGUAGGGCAGAGGGUGGUGGAAUUUCCUGUGUAUCGGUGAAAUGCGUAGGUAUAGGAAGGAACACCAGUGGCGAAGGCGACCACCUGGGCUCAUACUGACACUGAGGUGCGAAAGCGUGGGGAGCAAACAGG